RNAcentral lists this long non-coding RNA (213 nucleotides) under Bos taurus (domestic cattle). RNAcentral describes it as "long non-coding RNA NONBTAT016464". Lineage: Eukaryota; Metazoa; Chordata; Mammalia; Artiodactyla; Bovidae. The record is from RNAcentral.
CUUUUUUCCAAGGUACUGUGAACUAAUAGAAUAUGGAAAAAGAUACAAGAGAAAAGAUGAUGGUGGUAAUGGUUAGAAGCCUUGAUUAAUAUUUCAAAAUAUGACUCUGGUAUACAACUGAAUUAUCUUCAGAAUUUAGUAUUAGAGAAGAGAAAGGAAUGGCAAAGAAAUGAAGUCAUUCAUACAAAUGAGAAGUAUCUUUGAUCUUGGACA